RNAcentral lists this ribosomal RNA (497 nucleotides) under uncultured bacterium. Its description in RNAcentral is "partial 16S ribosomal RNA". It matches the Rfam family "Bacterial small subunit ribosomal RNA", at positions 28 to 507 of the family's 1533-position model. The record is from RNAcentral.
GAUGAACGCUGGCGGCGUGCCUAAUACAUGCAAGUCGAGCGAACGGACGAGAAGCUUGCUUCUCUGAUGUUAGCGGCGGACGGGUGAGUAACACGUGGAUAACCUACCUAUAAGACUGGGAUAACUUCGGGAAACCGGAGCUAAUACCGGAUGAUAUUUUUAACCGCAUGGUUCAAAAGUGAAAGACGGUCUUGCUGUCACUUAUAGAUGUAUCCGCGCUGCAUUAGCUAGUUGGUAAGGUAACGGCUUACCAAGGCAACGAUGCAUAGCCGACCUGAGAGGGUGAUCGGCCAAACGGGAACGGAGACACGGUCCAGACUCCUACGGGAGGAAGCAGUAGGGAAUCUUCCGCAAUGGGCGAAAGCCUGACGGAGCAACGCCGCGUGAGUGAUGAAGGUCUUCGGAUCGUAAAACUCUGUUAUUAGGGAAGAACAUAUGUGUAAGUAACUGUGCACAUCUUGACGGUACCUAAUCAGAAAGCCACGGCUAACUACGUG